RNAcentral lists this long non-coding RNA (559 nucleotides) under Glycine max (soybean). RNAcentral's name for it is "long non-coding RNA (GMAX_LNC000647)". Lineage: Eukaryota; Viridiplantae; Streptophyta; Magnoliopsida; Fabales; Fabaceae. The record is from RNAcentral.
AAUCUCUAACUUUUCUCCUUCCCCAAACACUAGCAACCACCACCUCCUUCAAUCUCAAAAACCAAAACCACCACCUUGAUGCAUCCCCACGUAACCAAAUCAUUAAUUACCACACACUCUGCCUCCCCUAAUGUUUCGAAGAAGACUUCUCCACAAAACAAAUCAAAUCCUAGAAUCCAAUCCCUCCCCCUUUGGUGAUGGUGCAGGGGUUCAGUCGCACGACCGCGCGAAGGGUGCUGAUGGUGGUGUGCACCGGCGACGAGGUAGGUGGGAGGUCGCGUGGAGCUGAUCUGGUGGCAGCGUGUGGUGCGAUGACGAUGGUGGUCGAGGAUCUGAUUUGUGAGAAGAUUGCACGCCGUGUUGGUUCAGGGGUCGUUCGCGUAAGUGAUUGGUGACGACGACACGCGACAAUGGUAGUGGCGCGUCGCGCGCGGAGGAGAGAGAGACAAGAGCAAAUCAGUUGGUUUUGUUGUGCUAAGGAGACAGAGAGGCGUAGCGACACAGAACACAUUUUUUACCCAUAUCUAAGAAAAUGAAACCUAGUUUUGUUAGAGAAUCA